CUUUUGUUUAGGGCUGAAACACGUAUUUCAAUUGCUCAAAAUACGUCACACUUCAUUGAAUCCCGGGUAAGCGGGACCAUAUAAACACCCCCUAAAAGGGGUGGACGAAAGGUAGUUUACGAGAUGAUUCCAAAAUUGAAUUAAGAGUUUGCGUUAGUAUUAGGGUGGGGGUCUGAGUGUGGGGGUUAGGUGUGGGGUGAGGGUUAAAAUGAUCUUAAAACCUGGGGGGCCACCUUUAAUACCUGCCUGCCACCUUUAAUACCUGCCUCUAGUAGCCACGACCAUAAAAUCACUGCACAUGACGCAUUAUCAGUGAUUCAACAGGAUAAAAAGCUUAUGAAUUAUUAAUGAUGUUUGAAGUUCUAGUUCCAGCACGCGUAGGAGUGUUUAUCGGAUAUAAAUAGCUCAAUGCUGACGUUAAAGGAAGAUCAUACCAAUAUUCUGUGUGUACAGGAAGAACAUUCCUUGACCGAUCAAUCAAUGGGAAGUGAAUUUGCAUUUUUUACGUUCAAACACGUCAAAAUGAAUGCCCCCUUACUGAUAAAUGCUAUUUAUUGAUAUUUAAUAUCUAUGUUUAUAUUAUAUAUAAACUAUAUAUUGGAAUUUACUGAAUUUAUAUUUAAAAUUAAAAAAUGUAUCUUUGAACAAAUGAAAAAAAGUGAAAAAUGUGUCUUGAUUUGAGCAAAUGAAAAAAAAUGUCUUAAAAAAAAGAACAAUGAAAAAAGUGAAAUAAUGUGUCUUUGAACAAGGUUAUCAAAUGUGUCUUUGAAGAUGUUGUCCAAGAAUAAAUUUGUCUUUGAACAACGUUAAAUAGAGAAUAAUACAUGUGCGCGCGGAAAUAGCAGAUUUAUUUCGAGUGUUGAACAUGAUAUCUCAAGAGUGUGCGCAGCGGACGAGUGAGAUAUCAUGUUAAACACGAGAAAUAAAUCUGGUAUUUCCAAGCAUCCAUGUAUUUUUCUGUUUAUUAUAUAAAGGACAGUCUUUGAAAAGCGAUAAUUUUUACAGAAAAGCGAUAAUUGAAAAG
This is a non-coding RNA of Paramuricea clavata, 1024 nucleotides long. The record is from the annotation of a GenBank genome assembly. Lineage: Eukaryota; Metazoa; Cnidaria; Anthozoa; Malacalcyonacea; Plexauridae.